UAAAAGCCCAAAUAUAUUACCAACUUUCCAACUCUGCUAGUGUUACUUCUGCACUGCUGUGAAAAUCUUGUAUACACACAGACUGCAAAUACUGUGGUAUUCUGUACAGAUGCAUUAACAAAAUUUGUGCCCAGGCUUUUGAGCUUAUAUCUAAAAAGAUGCAAACAAAAUGCUCUGAUCUAGAGUAGAGCUUUCUCUGAGAAAGCAGGGAAAUAUAAUGGAUUUGUCUGGGAUGGAGUUAACUGUGAUAGUACAGCCCGGAUAGCUCUGUAUUUUGGAUUUGUGUCUAAAAAGGUGUUGGUAAUGUGCUAAUGUUUUGGUUACUGCUGAGCAGUGCUUGGCGCACAGUAGCUCUUUCUGCUGCCUCGUCCCUUUGGUGAGUAGGCUGGGAACAGUGAAGAAAUGGAGAGAAGACAUACAUAGUCAGGACAACUGGCCCAAACUGGCCAAAGAGAUAUUCCGUGUCAUUAUCAUGUCAUGCUCUGCAGUAAAAUCCAAGGUAGACAAAGAAGGGGAAAGGUGGGAUCUUCCCAGGUGACUGGGGUCUGGAAGCUCACUGAGCAUCAGUCUGCCUGGAGGUUGGUGAGUGAUUUCCUUUGCUGCACUUUUUUUUUCCAGAAGAUACCUCAGAGUGGCCUGUGAAAACACCUCAUCUCAUGCUAACGCAAAAUGAAAUUAAUCUCAGAACCUAUAUUCAUCCAAGAUUCAGGCCAUAAAUGAAAAUACACAAGAAAGAAGAAACUAAAAGGUUAAGGCACUGAGAAGCAGAUUUCACGUACUGUACACAGCUGAGCCCCCUUAUCAGGGGAACACAAGCUGUACGGAUCAGUUAACUUUAUGAUACAACCUUUACUUUUUACUAUUUCCUGAUCUGGUGUUCAAUUUUACAACCUUAAUGCAAGUUACUUCACUAAUAAAGCAUUUCUUAUAAAGUUUGACCAUAUUACUUAACCUUUACACAGGAACAAAGAUGUCAAAACAUGUUAAAGGCUAAUGUCUAAGGGUAUUAUGUUGACUCUUGGGAAACAAAUUGAGCUUUCCUCUGUGACGCUGUUUCAAAAUUCAUCAUUAAAAGCUAUGUGGUACAAGAAGUUGCUAUCUUUAACCUUGCACCACGUGUUCUUCAG
RNAcentral lists this long non-coding RNA (1127 nucleotides) under Gallus gallus (chicken). Its description in RNAcentral is "lncRNA (ENSGALG00010003203.1)". Lineage: Eukaryota; Metazoa; Chordata; Aves; Galliformes; Phasianidae. The record is from RNAcentral.